GAGCGGGAUCGGGAAAGCAGCAAUGUGGACCCGUGAGAGCGGCGGAAGGGCGAGUAAUACGUGGGCAAGUUACCUCUUAGCCGGGGACAACGUCUGGAAACGGACGCUAAUACCGGAUGUGGCCCGGAACCGCAUGGUUCCGACGCUAAAGGCGGGGACCCGCAAGGGCCUGUCGCUAGGAGAGACGCCCGCGUGCCAUCAGCUUGUUGGUGAGGUAAUGGCUCACCAAGGCUUACGGCUAGGUGGACUGAGAGGUUGGUCACCCGCACUGGGACUGAGACACUGCCCAGACUCCUACGGGAGGCUGCAGUCGAGGAUCAUUCGCAAUGCACGAAAGUGUGACGAUGCGACGCUGCGUGGAGGACGACGGCCUUCGGGUUGUAAACUCCUAUCAUGAGGGAAAAGACGGCCUCCGUGAAUAGCGGAGGUCACCGAUGGUACCUCAAGAGGAAGCCACGGCUAACUCUGUGCCAGCAGCCGCGGUAAUACAGAGGUGGCAAGCGUUGUUCGGAUUUACUGGGCGUAAAGAGUGCGUAGGCGGCCAUGUGUGCCAAACGUGAAAUCCCGGGGCUCACCCCCGGAAGUGCGUCUGGAACUGCAUGGCUUUGAGUCCGGGAUGGGAUGUCGGAAUGCAUGGUGUAGCGGUGAAAUGCGUUGAUAUCAUGCAGAACACCGGUGGCGAAGGCGGACAUCUGGAACGGUACUGACGCUGAGGCACGAAAGCGUGGGGAGCAAACAGGAUUAGAUACCCUGGUAGUCCACGCCGUAAACGGUGCGCGCUUGGUGUGGGGGGAAUAGACCCCCCCCGUGCCGUAGCAAACGCGUUAAGCGCGCCGCCUGGGGAGUACGGCCGCAAGGUUAAAACUCAAAGAAAUUGACGGGGGCCCGCACAAGCGGAGGAGCAUGUGGCUUAAUUCGAUGCAACGCGAAGAACCUUACCCAGGCUUGACAUGCAGCUGCACGGUCGGUGAAAGCCGAUUUCCUUCGAGGGUGCUGCACAGGUGCUGCAUGGCUGUCGUCAGUUCGUGCCGUGAGGUGUUUGGUUAAGUCCACCAACGAACGCAACCCCUGUGUCCAGUUGCCAGCGGAUAGCGCCGGGGACUCUGGACAGACUGCCCGUUCACACGGGAGGAAGGUGGGGAUGACGUCAAGUCAGUAUGGCCCUUACGCCUGGGGCUGCACACGUGCUACAAUGGCCGGUACAGAGGGAUGCCAAGCCGCAAGGCGGAGCAAAUCCCCAAAACCGGCCCCAGUUCGGAUUGCGGUCUGCAACUCGACCGCAUGAAGUUGGAUUCGCUAGUAACGGCGUAUCAGCUACGACGCCGUGAAUACGUUCCCGGGCCUUGUACACACCGCCCGUCACAUCAUGAAAGCCGUCUGCACCCGAAGUCGCCGGCCCAACCCGCAAGGGAGGGAGGCGCCGAAGGUGUGGGUGGUGAUUGGGAUGAAGUCGGAACAAGGCA
This 1463-nucleotide ribosomal RNA is filed under the name metagenome. RNAcentral's name for it is "bacterial SSU rRNA". It matches the Rfam family "Bacterial small subunit ribosomal RNA". The record is from RNAcentral.